Gossypium raimondii (Peruvian cotton) is the source of this 145-nucleotide non-coding RNA. NCBI's taxonomy places the organism in Eukaryota, Viridiplantae, Streptophyta, Magnoliopsida, Malvales, Malvaceae. The record is from Rfam.
UGUUAAAAUAUUCAUCUAUUUCUAUUGUUAAAAACUGACGGGGUUGACAAAAUAACCAGACAGUUACUUGUGGUGUAUCACAUGUUCCUCAUUCUGAUGUACAGGGCUUAGAUUUUAAUAGUAGAAAUAGAUGAAAUUUUUAAUA